AAGAGUUUGAUCAUGGCUCAGGAUGAACGCUGGCGGCGUGCCUAAUACAUGCAAGUCGAGCGAACCACUUCGGUGGUGAGCGGCGAACGGGUGAGUACACGUAGGUGAUCUGCCCAUCAGACGGGGACAACGAUUUGGAAACGAUCGCUAAUACCGGAUAGGACGAAAGUUUAAAGGUGCUUCUGGCACCGCUGAUGGAUGAGCCUGCGGCGCAUUAGCUAGUUGGUAGGGUAAAGGCCUACCAAGGCGACGAUGCGUAGCCGACCUGAGAGGGUGAACGGCCACACUGGGACUGAGACACGGCCCAGACUCCUACGGGAGGCAGCAGUAGGGAAUCUUCGGCAAUGGGCGAAAGCCUGACCGAGCAACGCCGCGUGAAUGAUGAAGGCCUUCGGGUUGUAAAAUUCUGUUAUAAGGGAAGAACGACUUUAGUAGGAAAUGGCUAGAGUGUGACGGUACCUUAUGAGAAAGCCACGGCUAACUACGUG
RNAcentral lists this ribosomal RNA (488 nucleotides) under uncultured bacterium. RNAcentral's name for it is "bacterial SSU rRNA". It matches the Rfam family "Bacterial small subunit ribosomal RNA", at positions 1 to 507 of the family's 1533-position model. The record is from RNAcentral.